UGUUGUUUUUCCGAAAAUCAAUUACGAAUGUUUUAUUUUUGAGAAGUUAUGACUUCAUCGGCUUGCUUCUCUCUUUAUGAAACUUUCUUAAUGCACUUUUCGGUUAACAAGUCAACAUCAAUUUCUUUUGUUGUAAAAGGGUAUGAGGAAGGUGGCUUUCUUUUCGGAGAAAGCGUUUAUAGCCUUGUACCUCUGCAAUCGGAGAGAUUGAGGUCUGCAGCGUAGAUCCUUCGGGGUUAGAUACAUUUGUGCUAAGUUAUAGCUUUUCAUAGACAACUUGUUGACUAUGUUUAGUCUUGUAGCUUACUCGCUUAUGCUAUUUUACCUAC
This 329-nucleotide ribosomal RNA is filed under the name Neocallimastigales sp. RNAcentral describes it as "partial large subunit ribosomal RNA". The record is from RNAcentral. Lineage: Eukaryota; Fungi; Neocallimastigomycota; Neocallimastigomycetes; Neocallimastigales.